Molecule: ribosomal RNA, 1752 nt
Filed under: Escherichia coli P0302308.1
Lineage: Bacteria; Pseudomonadati; Pseudomonadota; Gammaproteobacteria; Enterobacterales; Enterobacteriaceae
Description: bacterial LSU rRNA
Rfam family: Bacterial large subunit ribosomal RNA
Source: RNAcentral
CGAAGCUGCGGCAGCGACGCUGAUGCGUUGUUGGGUAGGGGAGCGUUCUGUAAGCCUGCGAAGGUGUGCUGUGAGGCAUGCUGGAGGUAUCAGAAGUGCGAAUGCUGACAUAAGUAACGAUAAAGCGGGUGAAAAGCCCGCUCGCCGGAAGACCAAGGGUUCCUGUCCAACGUUAAUCGGGGCAGGGUGAGUCGACCCCUAAGGCGAGGCCGAAAGGCGUAGUCGAUGGGAAACAGGUUAAUAUUCCUGUACUUGGUGUUACUGCGAAGGGGGGACGGAGAAGGCUAUGUUGGCCGGGCGACGGUUGUCCCGGUUUAAGCGUGUAGGCUGGUUUUCCAGGCAAAUCCGGAAAAUCAAGGCUGAGGCGUGAUGACGAGGCACUACGGUGCUGAAGCAACAAAUGCCCUGCUUCCAGGAAAAGCCUCUAAGCAUCAGGUAACAUCAAAUCGUACCCCAAACCGACACAGGUGGUCAGGUAGAGAAUACCAAGGCGCUUGAGAGAACUCGGGUGAAGGAACUAGGCAAAAUGGUGCCGUAACUUCGGGAGAAGGCACGCUGAUAUGUAGGUGAAGUGAUUUACUCAUGGAGCUGAAAUCAGUCGAAGAUACCAGCUGGCUGCAACUGUUUAUUAAAAACACAGCACUGUGCAAACACGAAAGUGGACGUAUACGGUGUGACGCCUGCCCGGUGCCGGAAGGUUAAUUGAUGGGGUUAGCGCAAGCGAAGCUCUUGAUCGAAGCCCCGGUAAACGGCGGCCGUAACUAUAACGGUCCUAAGGUAGCGAAAUUCCUUGUCGGGUAAGUUCCGACCUGCACGAAUGGCGUAAUGAUGGCCAGGCUGUCUCCACCCGAGACUCAGUGAAAUUGAACUCGCUGUGAAGAUGCAGUGUACCCGCGGCAAGACGGAAAGACCCCGUGAACCUUUACUAUAGCUUGACACUGAACAUUGAGCCUUGAUGUGUAGGAUAGGUGGGAGGCUUUGAAGUGUGGACGCCAGUCUGCAUGGAGCCGACCUUGAAAUACCACCCUUUAAUGUUUGAUGUUCUAACGUUGACCCGUGAUCCGGGUUGCGGACAGUGUCUGGUGGGUAGUUUGACUGGGGCGGUCUCCUCCUAAAGAGUAACGGAGGAGCACGAAGGUUGGCUAAUCCUGGUCGGACAUCAGGAGGUUAGUGCAAUGGCAUAAGCCAGCUUGACUGCGAGCGUGACGGCGCGAGCAGGUGCGAAAGCAGGUCAUAGUGAUCCGGUGGUUCUGAAUGGAAGGGCCAUCGCUCAACGGAUAAAAGGUACUCCGGGGAUAACAGGCUGAUACCGCCCAAGAGUUCAUAUCGACGGCGGUGUUUGGCACCUCGAUGUCGGCUCAUCACAUCCUGGGGCUGAAGUAGGUCCCAAGGGUAUGGCUGUUCGCCAUUUAAAGUGGUACGCGAGCUGGGUUUAGAACGUCGUGAGACAGUUCGGUCCCUAUCUGCCGUGGGCGCUGGAGAACUGAGGGGGGCUGCUCCUAGUACGAGAGGACCGGAGUGGACGCAUCACUGGUGUUCGGGUUGUCAUGCCAAUGGCACUGCCCGGUAGCUAAAUGCGGAAGAGAUAAGUGCUGAAAGCAUCUAAGCACGAAACUUGCCCCGAGAUGAGUUCUCCCUGACUCCUUGAGAGUCCUGAAGGAACGUUGAAGACGACGACGUUGAUAGGCCGGGUGUGUAAGCGCAGCGAUGCGUUGAGCUAACCGGUACUAAUGAACCGUGAGGCUUAACCUU